GACGAACGCUGGCGGCGUGCCUAAUACAUGCAAGUUGAGCGCUGAAGGUUGGUACUUGUACCAACUGGAUGAGCAGCGAACGGGUGAGUAACGCGUGGGGAAUCUGCCUUUGAGCGGGGGACAACAUUUGGAAACGAAUGCUAAUACCGCAUAAAAACUUUAAACACAAGUUUUAAGUUUGAAAGAUGCAAUUGCAUCACUCAAAGAUGAUCCCGCGUUGUAUUAGCUAGUUGGUGAGGUAAAGGCUCACCAAGGCGAUGAUACAUAGCCGACCUGAGAGGGUGAUCGGCCACAUUGGGACUGAGACACGGCCCAAACUCCUACGGGAGGCAGCAGUAGGGAAUCUUCGGCAAUGGACGAAAGUCUGACCGAGCAACGCCGCGUGAGUGAAGAAGGUUUUCGGAUCGUAAAACUCUGUUGGUAGAGAAGAACGUUGGUGAGAGUGGAAAGCUCAUCAAGUGACGGUAACUACCCAGAAAGGGACGGCUAACUACGUG
Molecule: ribosomal RNA, 497 nt
Filed under: uncultured bacterium
Lineage: Bacteria
Description: partial 16S ribosomal RNA
Rfam family: Bacterial small subunit ribosomal RNA
Source: RNAcentral